AUCGCUUCUCGGCCUUUUGGUUAAGAUCAAGUGUAGAAUACUGGAUUUUUUAUUUUUAUUUUUUUCCAGAUGGAGUCUUGCUCUGUUGCCCAGGCUGGAAUGUAGUGGCACGAUCUCGUCCCACUGCAACCUCC
Molecule: small nuclear RNA, 134 nt
Organism: Pongo abelii (Sumatran orangutan)
Lineage: Eukaryota; Metazoa; Chordata; Mammalia; Primates; Hominidae
Gene: U2
Rfam family: U2 spliceosomal RNA
About the family: U2 is a small nuclear RNA (snRNA) component of the spliceosome (involved in pre-mRNA splicing). Complementary binding between U2 snRNA (in an area lying towards the 5' end but 3' to hairpin I) and the branchpoint sequence (BPS) of the intron results the bulging out of an unpaired adenosine, on the BPS, which initiates a nucleophilic attack at the intronic 5' splice site, thus starting the first of two transesterification reactions that mediate splicing.
Source: Ensembl